Molecule: ribosomal RNA, 440 nt
Filed under: uncultured bacterium
Lineage: Bacteria
Description: partial 16S ribosomal RNA
Rfam family: Bacterial small subunit ribosomal RNA
Source: RNAcentral
CCUACGGGUGGCAGCAGUGGGGAAUAUUGCACAAUGGGGGAAACCCUGAUGCAGCGACGCCGCGUGGGUGAAGGAGGACUUCGUUAUGUAAAGCUCUAUCAGCAGGGAAGAAAAUGAUGGUACCUGAAUUAGAAGCCACGGCUAACUACGUGCCAGCAGCCGCGGUAAUACGGAGGGGGCAAGCGUUAUCCGGAUUUACUGGGGGUAAAGGGAGCGUAGACGGCAGUGCAAGGCUGGAGUGAAAGGCGGGGGCUCAACCCCCGGACUGCUCUGGAAACGGUACGGCUGGAGGGCAGGAGGGGUAGGUGGAAUUCCUAGUGUAGCGGUGAAAUGCGUAGAUAUUAGGAGGAACACCAGUGGCGAAGGCGGCUUACUGGACUGUAACUGACGCUGAGGCUCGAAAGCGUGGGGAGCAAACAGGAUUAGAUACCCCUGUAGUC